Long non-coding RNA from Lagopus leucura (white-tailed ptarmigan), 408 nucleotides. RefSeq lists it as uncharacterized. The record is from RefSeq and is a predicted model, not a curated record. The transcript has 3 exons. Lineage: Eukaryota; Metazoa; Chordata; Aves; Galliformes; Phasianidae.
GGAGAGCCUGGCCACUUGCAGUUCUACUGUCUCCAAAGUGACAAACAGCUAUACAGUUUGGAUAUUGUUCAGCAAGAGCACACGUCCAUCAAGCAGGCUGAAACCAAUCUGACUUGUCCAGAGUUGCGUUUAGUGCUGAAGGCAAGUGGUUAGCAACAGUAGAAGAGAGAGAAGAAACUGACCUAGAGUUACAGUUGAAGCUGUGGCUCUUUGAUGAGAAAACACAAAGCUUUAGACUGAAUACUAGAGUAAGCAUGCCUCAUGAGGAUCACGUAACGCCGAUGUGCUUCCGUGACAUGGAUGAAAUGGAAGAUGACUCUCUGAUGCUGGUAACAACUGGGAGAGACUGUGUGUUUAAGGUCUGGGUGAUACUAGAAGACGCUGAUCCGGAGGGUAAGUAAGGUCAGA